This 105-nucleotide small nuclear RNA is filed under the name Dasypus novemcinctus (nine-banded armadillo). Lineage: Eukaryota; Metazoa; Chordata; Mammalia; Cingulata; Dasypodidae. The record is from RNAcentral.
CUGCCUACCAUGCUCACAUAUCUUAAAAUUUGAAUGAUACAGAGAAGAUGAGUAGGGUCCCUGUGCAAGGAAGACAUGCACAUUCAUUAAGUGGCUCAUAUAUUU